AGAGUUUGAUCCUGGCUCAGAUUGAACGCUGGCGGCAGGCCUAACACAUGCAAGUCGAGCGGAUGAGUGGAGCUUGCUCCAUGAUUCAGCGGCGGACGGGUGAGUAAUGCCUAGGAAUCUGCCUGGUAGUGGGGGACAACGUUUCGAAAGGAACGCUAAUACCGCAUACGUCCUACGGGAGAAAGUGGGGGAUCUUCGGACCUCACGCUAUCAGAUGAGCCUAGGUCGGAUUAGCUAGUUGGUGAGGUAAAGGCUCACCAAGGCGACGAUCCGUAACUGGUCUGAGAGGAUGAUCAGUCACACUGGAACUGAGACACGGCCCAGACUCCUACGGGAGGCAGCAGUGGGGAAUAUUGGACAAUGGGCGAAAGCCUGAUCCAGCCAUGCCGCGUGUGUGA
Molecule: ribosomal RNA, 398 nt
Filed under: uncultured bacterium
Lineage: Bacteria
Description: bacterial SSU rRNA
Rfam family: Bacterial small subunit ribosomal RNA
Source: RNAcentral